CACUAUUUGCUUUAGUGAUAAAAAUGAAAUACUUUAUUGUAGCAAAAAUAUUAGGAAAGACGAAAGACAUAAUCAUGAAAAAAAGCUUCGUAUUAUAUUGCUUUGUAAAUACCAGCAACUAGAAGCAAUACUUAAGCUGUUAGAAAAGUUUCAGUUUCUUAGAGAUGUCGUAAGAUAUCUCAUCAUGCAUCAAAUUAUACAGAAUGUGUAUGUCAAGCGAAUACGAUGAAACGGAGCAAUUUUACAAACUCCGCAUGUGUUAAGUAUUAGCCUUUAAAAAUCACAUGGGACGCUCUUGGGAGCGGCGGGCCUGCCUGCUUGGGUGCGCGGCAUUCGGGAACACCCAUAGUUUACUAUUGUACGCUGAAGAGAUUGUAUAACGAGAGCCAGAUAGGUACCUUGGUGAUAAUUUUUUUGGACGUCUGUACAAUAGAUGUACAUAUCAACGCUAUUAAAAAAGGAAUACGCAUAAGGUAAAAAUUGACUUAUUUUGCGAUGUAUACAUCUCUUUGUUGUGCAUUAUAGCUAACGCCAUACAUUGUUUGAUUAGACAUGGCAUAAUUGUUGCAAAAUGUGUACGUCGCAUAUCUCAUUGAGCAUUCUUCCUUCCGUUCCGCGCUCUGAGAACUAUGUUGUAUACUUGCCAAACGCAACUUAUUCAACGUCGACAAUUAAUGAAUGUUGUACUUCAGUACAUGGAUUCGCACGUUUCAUAGCUGGCAAACGAAAUGUUUAUUCUUCAACAAGGCUAAAUCAGAACCGAUUCGCAUUAUCCAAAAUGUACAAGAUGAGAGAAAGAGUACCACGCUGAGCACUUCAGUAUCCAUUUCGACAAUUUUAACACCCUUUACUCGAUUUUUAUGAACUAAAUAAAACCAUCAUGACCGA
This is an RNA transcript of Solenopsis invicta (red fire ant), 888 nucleotides long. RefSeq lists it as uncharacterized. Lineage: Eukaryota; Metazoa; Arthropoda; Insecta; Hymenoptera; Formicidae. The record is from RefSeq and is a predicted model, not a curated record. The transcript is spliced from 3 exons.